GACGAACGCUGGCGGCGUGCUUAACACAUGCAAGUCGAACGGAAAGGCCCUGCUUUUGUGGGGUGCUCGAGUGGCGAACGGGUGAGUUACACGUGAGUUACCUGCACUUGACUUUGGGAUAACCUAAGGCAACUGGGGCUAAUACCGGCAAGGAGUUCUUGCUGCUUGGUGGGGGUUGGAAAGUUUCGGCGGUUGGGGAUGGACUCGCGGCUUAUCAGCUUGUUGGUGGGGUAGUGGCUUACCAAGGCUUUGAAGGGUAGCCGGCCUGUGCGGGUGAACGGCCACAUUGGGACGGAGAUACGGCCGAGACAGCUACGGAAGGGAGGAGGGGGGAAUAUAGCACAGAGGACGGAAGCCAGAUGGAGCAACCCAGCGUGCGGGAGGACUGCCUGCGUGAUGUAUGCCACGUUCGCCUGUGACGAAGCAUAAGGGACGGAACGGGAGAAAGAAGCACCGGCAAACUACUG
RNAcentral lists this ribosomal RNA (467 nucleotides) under uncultured bacterium. RNAcentral describes it as "partial 16S ribosomal RNA". It matches the Rfam family "Bacterial small subunit ribosomal RNA", at positions 28 to 506 of the family's 1533-position model. The record is from RNAcentral.